AGCAGCCGCGGUAAUUCCAGCUCCAAUAGCGUAUAUUAAAGUUGUUGCAGUUAAAAAGCUCGUAGUUGAAUUUCGGGGUCAGUAGAUUGGUCGUGCCACUGGUAUGUACUGGUCUUACUGAUUCCUCCUUCUUGACGAACUGUGAUGUCAUUAAUUUGGUGUUGCAGGGAAUCAGGACUGUUACUUUGAAAAAAUUAGAGUGUUUAAAGCAAGCUAACGCUUGAAUACAUUAGCAUGGAAUAAUGAAAUAGGACGUUUAAUCCUAUUUUGUUGGUUUCUAGGAUCGACGUAAUGAUUAAUAGGGAUAGUUGGGGGCAUUAGUAUUCAAUUGUCAGAGGUGAAAUUCUUGGAUUUAUUGAAGACUAACUACUGCGAAAGCAUUUGCCAAGGAUGUUUUCAUUAAUCAGGAACGAAAGUUAGGGGAUCGAAGACGAUCAGAUACCGUCGUAGUCUUAACCAUAAACUAUGCCGACUAGGGAUCGGAUGAUGUUAAUUUUUAAUGACUCAUUCGGCGCCUUAA
Molecule: ribosomal RNA, 520 nt
Filed under: uncultured Glomus
Lineage: Eukaryota; Fungi; Glomeromycota; Glomeromycetes; Glomerales; Glomeraceae
Description: SSU rRNA
Rfam family: Eukaryotic small subunit ribosomal RNA
Source: RNAcentral